UCCCCCACUGUGUCCUUCAAGGAUAACAAGAUUUCACCCUACCCCUGAAGUACCUCUCACUCUCCGGCCUCGAGCCGAACAGUAUUUCCAGAAAGCCCAACAGUUGAGCUGCUGGAUUUCUCAAGAGACUUAUCCGGCCGGCUACAGACCCUUAGACCCAAUAAUAACGGUUACCACUCGAGCCGCCGGUGUUACCGCGGCGGCUGGCACCGGUCUUGCCCGGCCCUUGCUAUGCAAUGCUUUUUAUGCAUCACGACAGCCAGAUUUGUAACCUGGCACUCGAGGUCCCCUUAUCGCCGUUGCCGGCAUUGUAAAGUUUUCGCGCCUGCUGCACCCCGUAGGGCCUGGAUUCGUGUCUCAGAAUCCAUCUCCGGGCUCUUGCUCUCACAACCCGUACCCGUCGUAGGCUAGUAGGUACGCUACACCCACUACUACCUGAUAGGCCGCAGACCCAUCCUCUGGCGCCGGAGCUUUCGAUCUCGGGGCAUUCCAGCGACCGAGAUCUAUCGGGGAUUAUACCCAGUUUCCCGGGUUUAUACCCGUCCGGAAGGUAGGUUGUCCACGUGUUACUGAGCAGUACGCCAUGUAUUGCUACAUUCGACUCGCAUGGCUUAGUCGAACCUCGAUAGUCAGUAACCU
RNAcentral lists this ribosomal RNA (639 nucleotides) under uncultured archaeon. RNAcentral describes it as "partial 16S ribosomal RNA". The record is from RNAcentral.